This is a non-coding RNA of Myotis daubentonii (Daubenton's bat), 545 nucleotides long. The record is from the annotation of a RefSeq genome assembly. NCBI's taxonomy places the organism in Eukaryota, Metazoa, Chordata, Mammalia, Chiroptera, Vespertilionidae.
ACACCCGUGACCAGCACCUGCCAGAGACCAAGGCACCUUGGAAAGCCUCCACCAUGAGCUGGACUGCCCUCCUCCUCCUCCUCGCUCUCUGCCCAGGGUCCAGGUCUCAGGCUGUGGUCACUCAGAAGCCCUCAGAGAGCGUGGUCCCUGGCGUGACAGUCACUCUCACCUGCAGCACUAACACUGGAGAGGUCACCAGCGGUCACUACCCGUACUGGAUCCAGCAGAAGCCGGGCCAGGUCCCCAGGACACUCAUUUAUGACACAAGCAAUAAACUCUCCUGGACGCCGGCCCGGUUCUCAGGCUCCAUCCAAGGGGGCAAAGCUGCCCUGACCCUCUCAGGGGCGCAGCCUGAGGACGAGGCCGAGUACUACUGUGCCCUGUGGUACAGCAGCCGUCCCCACAGUGACAGGCGCGGGUGGGGAAGUUGGACAAAUACACAGGGCUCAGUGCUGCCUCUGCUUCUGGGGCCCCGUCUGCUGUUCACGGGGCUGCAUCCCGCUGGGGUGGCUCUGAGGGCUGUUCUCUGAGGCCCCAGACCAGGC